GACUUCCUUCGGGAAGUGUAUAAAGUGGCGCACGGGUGAGUAACACGUAAGUAAUCUACCUUCGAGUGGGGAAUAACGUCCGGAAACGGACGCUAAUACCGCAUAAUGCAGCGGCAUCGUAAGAUGACAGUUGUUAAAGAUUUAUCGCUUGAAGAGGAGCUUGCGGCAGAUUAGCUAGUUGGUAAGGUAAUGGCUUACCAAGGCUACGAUCUGUAACCGGUCUAAGAGGACGGUCGGUCACACUGACACUGAAUAACGGGUCAGACUCCUACGGGAGGCAGCAGUCGGGAAUUUUGGGCAAUGGGCGAAAGCCUGACCCAGCAACGCCGCGUGAAGGAUGAAGUAUUUCGGUAUGUAAACUUCGAAAGAAUGGGAAGAAUAAAUGACGGUACCAUUUAUAAGCUCCGGCUAACUACGUGCCAGCAGCCGCGGUAAUACGUAGGGAGCAAGCGUUGUUCGGAUUUACUGGGCGUAAAGGGCGCGUAGGCGGCAAUUCAAGUCAUCUGUGAAAUCUCCGGGCUUAACUCGGAACGGUCAGAUGAUACUGUCUUGCUAGAGUGCAGAAGGGGCAAUCGGAAUUCUUGGUGUAGCGGUGAAAUGCGUAGAUAUCAAGAGGAACACCUGAGGUGAAGACGGGUUGCUGGGCUGACACUGACGCUGAGGCGCGAAAGCCAGGGGAGCAAACGGGAUUAGAUACCCCGGUAGUCCUGGCCCUAAACGAUGAAU
RNAcentral lists this ribosomal RNA (726 nucleotides) under uncultured bacterium. RNAcentral describes it as "bacterial SSU rRNA". It matches the Rfam family "Bacterial small subunit ribosomal RNA", at positions 72 to 814 of the family's 1533-position model. The record is from RNAcentral.